AACCAUUAUGAUCACAACUGGAGGCUGCAAUUUCCAAUUGCAUCUCUCCCCUACAAUGCUGGAAGAAAUUUUGGUAGGGCUUAUUGUUGAUGAUGGUGAAGAAAAGCCAUGGCAAAUAAAUCUAGGUUUUAUUAAGAUUGAUAUUGAUAGGGUCAAAUGCUGAAGAACCAUCAACUUUUGUUGUUAAUACACAAACAAUUGGAGGGGUAUGAUGAAAUGGAAGUUCCUCUAUAUUCCAUGGAU
Gossypium arboreum is the source of this 243-nucleotide long non-coding RNA. RefSeq lists it as uncharacterized. The transcript has 2 exons. NCBI's taxonomy places the organism in Eukaryota, Viridiplantae, Streptophyta, Magnoliopsida, Malvales, Malvaceae. The record is from RefSeq and is a predicted model, not a curated record.